Long non-coding RNA from Salvia miltiorrhiza (redroot sage), 537 nucleotides. RefSeq lists it as uncharacterized. The record is from RefSeq and is a predicted model, not a curated record. The transcript has 3 exons. NCBI's taxonomy places the organism in Eukaryota, Viridiplantae, Streptophyta, Magnoliopsida, Lamiales, Lamiaceae.
UCUACGGAUUACUCAGGGUAACUAAUCCCGCCUCCCCCCUCCGAUUAUUUCACAAUCCAGAUGUUGAUGAAAUUAUGUGCUCUUUUCUGCCCUUCGCACGAAGCUCGAAAUUUUAAUUCAAAUAAACCCUACCCCUCUUCCUCGGUUAUUCUUCCUUCAACGUGAAUCUGAAAAGCUCCAUCGUUAAAAAUCCAAUGCUUACUUCGACUGAAAUUCGACUCAAACGUCUCGCGCUCACUGCACAUUCUCACCCAUUGCCUGAACGCCUCCGACGCCGGCGACGCCCCUGCCCCCCGGCCUGCUGCCGUGCUGCUCUGUUCAGACGACAGACGCAGUCACGCCACCACCACCGCCGCAGCCCUCGUCAAGUGCUUCGUCGCUUGUUUGGCCGAAGACAGACAAAGGAACAAAGACCAGUGAGGUGAGACAGCACAGGUCAGAUUAUCGUCUUAUACAAGUUCCAUAAUUUUUGUUAUUUCUACAGCAUAUGUUGGCUUAUUAAUAUGUUAGAUGAUGACAUAUCUUUCGGCUGGUGUA